UCUCACCCGUCUUGCAGACAUUACAGAACAUCGGAGUUAUAGAAGUGCGGAAGCAAUUACAUAAACUUACAUUUAUUUAGAAAGUAAGAUCAAGUUACUUAUUACAGACCAGAGCUAUAAAACGAGUGCUGAGUAGUAAUAUUUUACAAACCAAGGGAGGCACAAACUCCUCCCGAUAAGUUUUAAGUAAAAGAUCCUAUGUGGACGACCAAGUCCUCCCGUACUUCAGUCUUGUUUUUCUUCAUUUGGUACCACCUUGGAGCAAAAGCAACAAAAAUAUGUCGCUUCCUCACCUAAAAACAACAAAGGGAUAAACCCUGAGUAUGGAAUUACUCAGCAAGUCUUACCCGACUAAGGAAAAGACUCUCAAGGGUAUGCUGGAUAAAUAGGAAUCAAGGUGAGGCUUUAGCAAGAAUCAACUUAGAUACUUUUGCAGAAAUAGCUUACUAAAGUGAGUCCUUACUUUCAAUAUUUUAACGCCAGAUUAAAUAUUUAAUAGACUCUGUUUGCAUCUAGUCUAAUUUCAUCAUCUCAUCAAUACAACAUCAUUUUUAUCCAUAGUGUUCACAUCUUGACUUAGGUUGUAGGUCGGAGCUCAAGUCUCCACUCUCCGGGGAUAUAACGGCGAUCCGAAUCGAUUUACUCAGCUGAGGAUCUCUAACCACACGACAUAUGUUUCUCGUAAACCUUGAUGUCUACUAUUCCCACGGAUCCUCCACUGCAUGAACAGGUCCGCGCCACCCGAGAGUACACCACCCCUUUUAGGCGAUCCGUUGCCAGGAGGGUACGUGCCACUCUCGCCAUCUCUCCACGCCCAGUGCGCGAUUGUCUUUUCAUGUAUGGAAUAGCCGGGUUCAAGCUUACCCUGUCCCAUUCUCAGGGCAUGUGGCUAGAUAAGAUAGUCCUUGAUCAAUAGGCCUACAUACGCAUCCAAUCCUUAAUUGACUCGGGCGGAGCAUCACCUGUUCCUAGCCCAAGUCUCGAUUUAAGUAUUUCCAUCCUUAGGAUUGUGUCUGUUCCUUAGGAUGAAAGAGCAUCACAGGGAACUUUGCAGUAAGAUCCCACUAUUGCUCCAAAUGAAAAUAUUCUUGCAGGUAGAAGCCAUCCUCUCCAUGGUUAAAUUGAGGACAACCUCUAUCCACAAGAUCUAAGCAAGGCUAAGCAUUUUUGUAAAUCAUAUUUUGAUACUUCACAGAAGUAUCUAUAAAGGUAUGGAUAUCAAGGAAAACAAUGCAUCAAAGGGUUUCAAGUAACUCCUAUGAACCUAAUGCACAUUUCACUAGACUUAAGUGUGCAAAAAGUAUUUAAAAACACAAGGAAAGGGGUUGCAUGCACCGGGGCUUGCCUUCGUUCGUAGUUGAGUCAGGCUCGGACUCACAGUUGUCGAAGUAGAGCCAAGUCCCUGCCUGAGAUUUCAAAGGUGGUGAUGUCUUCUCUUGAGUCACCUCACUCUCUUUUUCGUUUUCUAAAUAUAACCAUAUAGGUAUAUAUAUAAGAAUGAAUGUCAUGUAAUGCAAACUAUCACAAAGAGAGGUGGAGAACAGAAACACUACAACUAAAGCACAUGACAAGAAUACACCUAUUUCUUAUCGCUCGAUUAAAGUGACCAAUUUGAAAUCACUUAGGUAAACCAGGGAAUUAAUCCAACUUAUAUCUCAUCCAAAAGCUUAAAACUUCAUAAGCAACUUCAUCUCUUCACUUAACUACUAGGUGUCCUCGUUUCAUAAGUGAAAUCCUUUUUCUUUUUGGGCAAUAAUUAACUUGCUAAGCAAAUCAUAUCCAAAUAGUUCCAACUUUUGCCCAAGUGUUUAACUUCUGAUAAAAAGCUUCUCCAAGAAUUUUCUACAAUUUCUAGCACAACUUAUAAGUUCUUGGUUAAAGAAAAGACGAAAGUAUGAACAGUAUUGGGCCCAAACUAGCCCAUACUGCCUAAUAUGGGCAGAGCCGGCCCAUGGAUGACUGCUCGCGCCCACGCCGUGCGCGCUUUGCAAAAAGAACCUCGUUGCCCAGACAAAUCCAAACGAGCCCGAGCCACUGUUAAUUGGUGUCACUGACAGUUUCGCUUAGACCCCUGGACUUCAUCUCUUUUGCACAAACUCAGCCGCGACACUGCCGUGCUCAACCCCGGCGGUCAGACAUCCGAUCCGCCACGGUGGUGUGACCUAGUCAACGACGAUGGCACCAUCACGAUCCCCAGGCAACGGUGGACUCCAACCUGUGUUCAAUCGACCGCGGGGACGCUAAGACCUAACUACCGAUGGUGGCGGCGGCAAACCCAGUUCGGUGGGCUCAAUUCAACGGCCACCACAUGGUAGAGCUUCAAACUCCGACGCUGGGAGCAAUAGAGACCUACCACGACUACGGUGCUCGUACGAAACCGACCAAGAACGACAUAGUUUAACCGAUCGGCGGUGAGACUGUCUAUGGGGACGGUCUGCGGCGGCGCGACCCUGUUCCGGUCAACACACGAUGGCAGAACUGAAAUUACCAAUGGGAAAACCUUCACUGACCUUAGGAGAACGUGGAACGAGGGUCAUGCGGGCUGGUCACUCCCUGAGACGUCUUGGCCACGGAGAGAUAGGCAAUCAGUGGGCAUGGUCACCACUGAC
This 2609-nucleotide long non-coding RNA is filed under the name Zea mays. RNAcentral's name for it is "long non-coding RNA (ZMAY_LNC004230)". Lineage: Eukaryota; Viridiplantae; Streptophyta; Magnoliopsida; Poales; Poaceae. The record is from RNAcentral.